RNAcentral lists this ribosomal RNA (256 nucleotides) under Thermoproteati archaeon. RNAcentral's name for it is "TACK group archaeon partial 23S ribosomal RNA". It matches the Rfam family "Archaeal large subunit ribosomal RNA", at positions 2745 to 2987 of the family's 2987-position model. Lineage: Archaea; Thermoproteati. The record is from RNAcentral.
CCCUCAGUACGAGAGGAACAGGGCGUCGUGGCCUCUGGUUUACCGGUUGUCCGACAGGGCAUUGCCGGGCAGCUACGCCAUGCGGGAUAACCGCUGAGUGCAUCUAAGCGGGAAGCCCAUCCCGAAAAUAGGCGACCAUGCCGUCAGGCACGAGGACACCCAUAGAAGAUGGGUUUGAUGGAGCGGAGGUGUAAGAGCCGAGGCGCAAGCCGAGGUUUUCAGCCUGCCGCCCCCAAUAGUCCGAGGGCAGUUAGCU